This 447-nucleotide ribosomal RNA is filed under the name uncultured Pelagibacterales bacterium. Its description in RNAcentral is "bacterial SSU rRNA". It matches the Rfam family "Bacterial small subunit ribosomal RNA", at positions 1069 to 1533 of the family's 1533-position model. Lineage: Bacteria; Pseudomonadati; Pseudomonadota; Alphaproteobacteria; Candidatus Pelagibacterales. The record is from RNAcentral.
GAGAUGUGGGUAGUCCGCACGAGCGCACCUCACUUUUAGUUGCCAUCAUUAAGUUGGGCACUCUGAAAGAACUGCCAGUGAUAAGCUGGAGGAAGGUGGGGAUGACGUCAAGUCCUCAUGGCCCUUACGUGUUGGGCUACACACGUGCUACAAUGGUAUCUACAACAGGAUGCAAAACAGCGAUGUUAAGCAAAUCCCGAAAAGAUACCUCAGUUCGGAUUGCACUCUGCAACUCGAGUGCAUGAAGCUGGAAUUACUAGUAAUCGUAGAUCAGCGUGCUACGGUGAAUACGUUCCCGGGUCUUGUACACACCGCCCGUCACACCAUGGGAGUUGGUUCUACCUUAAGGCAAGGUUUAAUACCCUUGACCACGGUAUAGUCAGCGACUGGGGUGAAGUCGUAACAAGGUAGCCGUAGGGGAACCUGCGGCUGGAUUACCUCCUUUCU